Ribosomal RNA from Salmo trutta (river trout), 119 nucleotides. NCBI's taxonomy places the organism in Eukaryota, Metazoa, Chordata, Actinopteri, Salmoniformes, Salmonidae. The record is from Ensembl.
GCUUACGGCCAUACCUGCCUGGGUACGCCUGAUCUUGUAUGAUUUCGGAAGCUAUGCAGGACCGGGCCUGGUUAGUACGUGGAUGGGAGACCGCCUGGGAAUACCAGGUGCUCUAAGCA